This 498-nucleotide long non-coding RNA is filed under the name Chinchilla lanigera (long-tailed chinchilla). RNAcentral describes it as "lncRNA (ENSCLAG00000025326.1)". Lineage: Eukaryota; Metazoa; Chordata; Mammalia; Rodentia; Chinchillidae. The record is from RNAcentral.
GACUUAGACCUUGCACAGACUUUCCGUGGAUGCUUUUAUUCCCAUAUAGGGAUGAAUGAGAAGUUGGAUAUCCUUCUUCCUUUUCAGGCUGGAAGAGGUCAGUCCUUUAUGCUGAUUUGCAGCUGCAGGAUUUGCCUUGCAGUUAUGCUCAUCCCAGGACUGCCCCACAAUUGUGCUUCCUAGUUUCCUGCCUCAUAGGUAAGUUUGCAGGCUGGCUCCUAAAAUUGAUGCCCAAACAGGAACUUGAAAGGAAGAAGUUCCAAAGGAAUGAGAAAUACAACAAAAAAGGAGAAUCCUGCAAGGAGAAAUCCAAAGGUCUCUGGCAAAAAUGAAAGACCUGGAACUUAUUUUUAAUGCUGGAGUUAGCAUCCAAGGCUUUGUGUAUAUGAGUCAAGAACUCUAUCAUGAAACCACUGAACACUAUUUCUGAAAAAUCUGAGCCAGGCAUGGUGGCAUACCCCUACGCUCCCAAUUCCUCAAGAGACUGAGGCAGAAGAU